This 73-nucleotide transfer RNA is filed under the name Fuscoporia gilva. RNAcentral describes it as "tRNA-Gln". It matches the Rfam family "tRNA". From Rfam's summary of the family: Transfer RNA (tRNA) molecules are approximately 80 nucleotides in length. Their secondary structure includes four short double-helical elements and three loops (D, anti-codon, and T loops). Lineage: Eukaryota; Fungi; Basidiomycota; Agaricomycetes; Hymenochaetales; Hymenochaetaceae. RNAcentral also lists the same sequence under 1 other name. The record is from RNAcentral.
UGAGUUGUAGUUUAAUUGGAAAAACACCAUUUUUUGGUAGUGGACCAUAUCAGUUCAAAUCUGGUCAACUCAG